GAUUUUUCUCAAUAAUACGUCAUUAUAAACGUUUUAAUUUUACUCGAAUAAACAUAUCAAUAUAUUUACUGGAAUGCAGCAUAAGUUCAGCGAUACUGAGUACACAGGUCAUUGCCAGAGUGAGAAAUCCGCAGAGUCUACGACCCCAUCGGUCGAGCAACAGGGCGAGCAAUAACCCAGCUGGAAGUUCUGUGGCACAGGCGAUCGAGAACGACACGAACACCGAGCUCUGGAUAAAUUUUAACGAAUACACGUGGCCGUCGAACGAGAUCACGGUGAAACACCUACAAGACAGUAUCGUUUCUCGACAACCUUGUCCAUCAUCCCAUUGGAAACGUACCACCUUGAACAGAGCAAAUACGAGUGAUAUGGAUCGAUAAGUAAAUUUGCAUAAAUCUCAAAGCGCAAGUUGAGAAUUCGAAUAAUCGAACGAUUACGAGUUUACUUACCGGGCGCUCUCAGGAAGAAUCCACGGUGUGAUAGCAACGGAUAACAGCGGUAUGGCAGUAACGUAAGUGAAAUAUCUCCAGUUCGCGAUAUAGUAAGCUAUCCAUGGUAAAAUUGUACUGGCCACUGCGAAGUAUACGCCAAAGGCGAUGUUCACGACCAACGUUCGUUUCGAAACAGCCAUAUAUUCGAGCACUGUGGGAUAAUUGAUCGUCGAUAACUCUCGGAAUAACUGAUUAUUAUAUCAAGAUACUUAACGACGAUUAUUCUUUAUGUUACAGUAAUGGAACAUGGAAGAUUUAUCGAGUGAAACCGGUUAUUAUUAAUAUGGAGCAAUUGAUGACGAGCCGAAUGAACGAUAUCAUCAACUUAAUUUUAUCGAACGCCAGUCCGGUGAGGAACCUACAGACGGCGAAUGACCAAAAACUAUUUGCACUGGCAGUGAAAAUGGAGGCAAAAAGGGCGACACCGUUGCAGAACAUC
RNAcentral lists this unclassified non-coding RNA (930 nucleotides) under Bombus terrestris (buff-tailed bumblebee). RNAcentral describes it as "misc RNA ENSBTSG00005038996.1". The record is from RNAcentral. Lineage: Eukaryota; Metazoa; Arthropoda; Insecta; Hymenoptera; Apidae.